GUUUGUGUCUCUCGUCCAGGAUGAAUGUGUUGCUCUCCGUCUCUCUCUGGCUUGCUCUGAUCAUGUCGUCGUGUUGUGGACACGAGACGGAAGAGCUGACCACCGAUCAUACAGUGACACAGACGACAGACUACGACUACAACUACGACCACACCUUUGAUUACUCCAGCUUCCCCGAGGUGCAGCUUAUAAUCCCAAACAAGGGUUCAGGGAUUGGCCAGCUGAACCUGGUACUCCUGCUGGGAUUGGUGAUUCUUCACGCCUGGAAUUGAUUGGUGGGCGGAGACAAGGACGAGCUAUCAUUUGAUGAUUUCUGAACUCACUUCCUGUUAUGAAUCUGCAACUUUCAGCUUCUUCUUUCACAUCUCUGCACCUCGAUUAACCGCAGCGGGGUUUCCUCCUGGAGGCCAGAGGAAGUCAAGCUUCCCAUUUUUUUAUUUAAGUUUCAUUUUAAUAAAAGCAGUUUUUAAAGCAAUAGAUCCUGUAUCACUCUCAACACUGGCAUCGUUACUCUAGUCCAAUCAUCUUUAUGCUCGCCUGCUUUGAGCCAAUCAGCCUCCGCUCUGCACGGUUUAAAUUUCAGUGCUCUUCCUUCAUUCCCCCUUUCUGACUCUCCUUUCUAAAAACCCGCCUCCCUCCUCCCCACCCCCACCUCGCCCGAGUCACUCAGAGCUCCGUCCCAGCCUCAGGUUUCACCUUCAGCACCACCUGCGUCUGACUCUGAUGGGUCACCACUGGGAUCCUGUUCUGCCAUGAUGACUCAUCAGAGUCUAGUCACCAAAUAGAUUCACUAAAAUGAAUUUCUCUUUCUCAA
Molecule: long non-coding RNA, 814 nt
Organism: Pelmatolapia mariae (spotted tilapia)
Lineage: Eukaryota; Metazoa; Chordata; Actinopteri; Cichliformes; Cichlidae
Exons: 4
Source: RefSeq, a predicted model, not a curated record